CACUCCUCCUGGGGGUGGAACCUCCACCCACACCGAGCCAUGAGGGUUCUCCAGCUGCUCCUGGCAGUCCUUGUCAUUCUCCUCCUCCAGGGCACUCCGGGUAAGGACAAAAUCCUCACAGGGCUUCCUGCAGGACUGUGGAGAGAGAAAAGGCAGGUUCCUGCUCUUCUGAGGUAGAAGAGGACAAGACAGGGCCCCCACGUCAAGGCUGAGCUAACUCGUGGUUCCAAGGAAAAAAUUUCUCCUGGGAUGGUCUCCAUGAAGUUCCUGGAGGCAGCUGUCCUGAGAUCAUGGACUGUGCAUCCCCUCUUCUCUGCACCCUCAAAACUCACCCAGAAAUGCUGAGCCUAAGACAGGAACCUGAGCUUUGCUCCUGACCAGGAUAAAAGCCUCAUCCUCCACCAAACAAGGAGAAUCCCAUUAAAUUAUCCAUGAGUGGAAUACAGAUGUGGCAAAUGCAGGAAGAUGCAAGUGUGGCCAGAAGGUUGAGGGAGGUGAUUUUCACCCUCUGAUCUGCUCUGCAGCCAGAGGCCUUUCAGACACGCAGCAGUGCAGGAACAGCCGUGGCCACUGCCGGAGGCUGUGCUUCCACAUGGAGCGCUGGGAAGGGAACUGCAGCAGCGGCCGCCUGCGCUGCUGCCGGUGACAGCGGCCACCCC
This is an RNA transcript of Melospiza melodia melodia, 659 nucleotides long. It is a transcript of the gene named gallinacin-13-like, with no coding region annotated. The record is from RefSeq and is a predicted model, not a curated record. The transcript has 2 exons. Lineage: Eukaryota; Metazoa; Chordata; Aves; Passeriformes; Passerellidae.